Molecule: ribosomal RNA, 459 nt
Filed under: uncultured bacterium
Lineage: Bacteria
Description: partial 16S ribosomal RNA
Rfam family: Bacterial small subunit ribosomal RNA
Source: RNAcentral
CCUACGGGUGGCAGCAGUGAGGAAUAUUGGUCAAUGGCCGGGAGGCUGAACCAGCCAAGUCGCGUGCGGGAAGAAUGUCCUAUGGAUUGUAAACCUCUUUUUUCAGGGAGCAAAGUCACUCACGUGUGGGGGUUGGAGAGUACCGGAAGAAUAAGCAUCGGCUAACUCCGUGCCAGCAGCCGCGGUAAUACGGAGGGUGCGGGCGUUAUCCGGAUUUAUUGGGUUUAAAGGGUGCGUAGGCGGAUCAUCAAGUCUGCGGGAAAAUCGUGGGGUUCAACCCCAUCCAGCUGUGGAAACUGAGGAUCUGGAGUGCGCGAGAAGCAUGCGGAAUGCGUGGUGUAGCGGUGAAAUGCGUAGAUAUCACGAAGAACCCCGAUUGCGAAGGCAGCAUACCGGCGCCGGACUGACGCUGAGGCACGAAAGCGUGGGUAUCGAACAGGAUUAGAUACCCUUGUAGUC